Molecule: ribosomal RNA, 433 nt
Filed under: uncultured bacterium
Lineage: Bacteria
Description: partial 16S ribosomal RNA
Rfam family: Bacterial small subunit ribosomal RNA
Source: RNAcentral
AGCGAACGCUGGCGGCAUGCCUAACACAUGCAAGUCGAACGAGACCUUCGGGUCUAGUGGCGCACGGGUGCGUAACGCGUGGGAACCUGCCCUUAGGUUCGGAAUAACUCCCCGAAAGGAGUGCUAAUACCGGAUAAUGUCUUCGGACCAAAGAUUUAUCGCCUUUGGAUGGGCCCGCGUUGGAUUAGCUAGUUGGUAGGGUAAAAGCCUACCAAGGCGACGAUCCAUAGCUGGUCUGAGAGGAUGAUCAGCCACACUGGGACUGAGACACGGCCCAGACUCCUACGGGAGGCAGCAGUGGGGAAUAUUGGACAAUGGGCGAAAGCCUGAUCCAGCAAUGCCGCGUGAGUGAUGAAGGCCUUAGGGUUGUAAAGCUCUUUUACCCGGGAUGAUAAUGACAGUACCGGGAGAAUAAGCUCCGGCUAACUCCGUG